AUUGAACGCUGGCGGCAUGCCUUACACAUGCAAGUCGAACGGUAACAGGUUAAGCUGACGAGUGGCGAACGGGUGAGUAAUGUAUCGGAACGUGCCCAGUCGUGGGGGAUAACUGCUCGAAAGAGCAGCUAAUACCGCAUACGACCUGAGGGUGAAAGCGGGGGAUCGCAAGACCUCGCGCGAUUGGAGCGGCCGAUAUCAGAUUAGGUAGUUGGUGAGGUAAAGGCUCACCAAGCCGACGAUCUGUAGCUGGUCUGAGAGGACGACCAGCCACACUGGGACUGAGACACGGCCCAGACUCCUACGGGAGGCAGCAGUGGGGAAUUUUGGACAAUGGGCGCAAGCCUGAUCCAGCCAUGCCGCGUGCGGGAAGAAGGCCUUCGGGUUUUAAACCGCUUUUGUCAGGGAAGAAAAGGUUCUGGCUAAUACCUGGGACUCAUGACGGUACCUGAAGAAUAAGCACCGGCUAACUACGUG
This 477-nucleotide ribosomal RNA is filed under the name uncultured bacterium. Its description in RNAcentral is "partial 16S ribosomal RNA". It matches the Rfam family "Bacterial small subunit ribosomal RNA", at positions 30 to 507 of the family's 1533-position model. The record is from RNAcentral.